AACCUCCGCAAUGUGAGAAAUCGCGACGGGGGGAUCCCAAGUGCCAUUCUUAACGGGAUGGCUUUUCAUUAGUGUAAAGAGCUUUUGGAAUAAGGGCUGGGCAAGACCGGUGCCAGCCGCCGCGGUAACACCGGCAGCUCUAGUGGUAGCAGUUUUUAUUGGGCCUAAAGCGUCCGUAGCCGGUUUAAUAAGUCUCUGGUGAAAUCCUGUAGCUUAACUGUGGGAAUUGCUGGAGAUACUAUUAGACUUGAGACCGGGAGAGGUUAGAGGUACUCCCAGGGUAGAGGUGAAAUUCUGUAAUCCUGGGAGGACCGCCUGUUGCGAAGGCGUCUAACUGGAACGGUUCUGACGGUGAGGGACGAAAGUUAGGGGCGCGAACCGGAUUAGAUACCCGGGUAGUCCUAACUGUAAACGAUGCGGACUUGGUGUUGGGGUGGCUUUGAGCCGCUCCGGUGCCGAAGGGAAGCUGUUAAGUCCGCCGCCUGGGAAGUACGGUCGCAAGACUGAAACUUAAAGGAAUU
This 521-nucleotide ribosomal RNA is filed under the name uncultured bacterium. RNAcentral's name for it is "bacterial SSU rRNA". It matches the Rfam family "Archaeal small subunit ribosomal RNA", at positions 345 to 866 of the family's 1478-position model. The record is from RNAcentral.